Molecule: ribosomal RNA, 476 nt
Filed under: uncultured bacterium
Lineage: Bacteria
Description: partial 16S ribosomal RNA
Rfam family: Bacterial small subunit ribosomal RNA
Source: RNAcentral
UUGAACGCUGGCGGCAUGCCUUACACAUGCCAGUCGCACGGUAACAGGUUAAGCUGACGAGUGGCGAACGGGUGAGUAAUGUAUCGGAACGUGCCCAGUCGUGGGGGAUAACUGCUCGAAAGAGCAGCUAAUACCGCAUACGACCUGAGGGUGAAAGCGGGGGAUCGCAAGACCUCGCGCGAUUGGAGCGGCCGAUAUCAGAUUAGGUAGUUGGUGAGGUAAAGGCUCACCAAGCCGACGAUCUGUAGCUGGUCUGAGAGGACGACCAGCCACACUGGGACUGAGACACGGCCCAGACUCCUACGGGAGGCAGCAGUGGGGAAUUUUGGACAAUGGGCGCAAGCCUGAUCCAGCCAUGCCGCGUGCGGGAAGAAGGCCUUCGGGUUGUAAACCGCUUUUGUCAGGGAAGAAAAGGUUCUGGCUAAUACCUGGGACUCAUGACGGUACCUGAAGAAUAAGCACCGGCUAACUACGUG